CCUACGGGAGGCAGCAGUGGGGAAUAUUGCGCAAUGGGCGAAAGCCUGACGCAGCGACGCCGCGUGAGGGAUGAAGGUCUUCGGAUCGUAAACCUCUGUCAGCAGGGAAGAACGGUCACUGUGCUAAUCAGCAGUGAAUUGACGGUACCUGCACAGGAAGCACCGGCUAACUCCGUGCCAGCAGCCGCGGUAAUACGGAGGGUGCGAGCGUUAAUCGGAAUUACUGGGCGUAAAGCGCUCGUAGGCGGUAUGUCAAGUCAAGGGUGAAAUCCCCGCGCUCAACGGGGGAAGUGCCUUUGAAACUGGCAGACUGGAGUGUGUGAGAGGAUAGUGGAAUUCCAGGUGUAGGAGUGAAAUCCGUAGAUAUAUGGAGGAACAUCAGUGGCGAAGGCGACUAUCUGGCACAUAACUGACGCUGAGGAGCGAAAGCGUGGGUAGCAAACAGGAUUAGAUACCCUGGUAGUC
Molecule: ribosomal RNA, 465 nt
Filed under: uncultured bacterium
Lineage: Bacteria
Description: partial 16S ribosomal RNA
Rfam family: Bacterial small subunit ribosomal RNA
Source: RNAcentral